Molecule: non-coding RNA, 1176 nt
Organism: Microcebus murinus (gray mouse lemur)
Lineage: Eukaryota; Metazoa; Chordata; Mammalia; Primates; Cheirogaleidae
Source: RefSeq, a predicted model, not a curated record
UCUUUCCACACACUCAAUCUCCUGGACCACCUCCUCCUACACUUGUGCAAGGAAAACUUUAUUGUCCUGAUUUUGUAGAUACCUAAAAUCUGAAGUUCAGGUGCGUUUGGUUAUUUCGUCCCAGGCACACGUUUGUAAGAGGCACAGAUUUGAUGCAAACUCUAUUCAUCAUACUCCAAGUUCAGAGCCAUUUCACAGAGGGAAUUCGGCCCCGGCACAUCUUCCCCUGACCAGGAGCUGGCCUGGAGGGUAAGGACAUGGCUGGUCAUGCACAUGAGGGUGAGUGACUCUCUUGCUUCGGUUUUCUCACCUGUGAAAUGGGACAGUAGCGGUCCACGAGUGGGCGGCGUAGGGAACAACAGAACUAGCUCAUGCAGACCGCUCAGCACGGGGACUUGGCACACAUGCUGAGCACUAAAUAAAUGCUAGGGUUUUGAAGAAGUUUGGCUACACCCUCCAGACCCAGGGGGGGCAUGCCUCCGUUCAGCUUCAGUGUCUGCAGGGGCUGGGGGUACCUUUACACUCCGCCUCUUCCUCCUGCAGUCACAGGAAGCAGUAAAAACCGGAUCAGACACUGAACUCCACGUUUGCUUUUGCAAUUCGAGAGAGCCUGUCUCGCGCAGUGAAAGCUGCCUUGUGCAGCCGCUGCCAAGACAGAACGAGGAUGGCCUGGGCCAGGGAGCCAGCCUGCUCCAGGGUCGCCAGACGCCUGGUGGGGGAGGGGAGGGGAGCCUCGGUGCGCUGCCCGCGGUGCUGAACUUGGGCAUUUUGACCUCGCUGGGUGGGGGCUGUCCGCGGUGCUGAACUCAGGCAUUUGGUCUCACUGGGGGGGCGCUGUCCAUGGUGCUGAACUGGGGCUCCAGCGGCUGCUCGGCGCUGUCCGCGGUGCUGAAUCCGGUGCUGAACCGGGGCUCCAGCCACGCCCGGGCAGCGUGUCGCGUCCAUUGUCACCAGAGUCCGUGGGCAUCUUCCAGAAGGCCGAGUAUUGGGGUCAGGUGAGACCAGGGCGGUUUCUGCAAAAAUUUGAGAUUCUGCUCCCACCUUCAGUUCCUGCAAAAAUCCAGACACCUAUCACCCAGCCCGGCUCCGCAACCGUUUCCUACAAAAGUCCAGGCCCCUACGCAUCUCAUCCCCACGCGACAAUGCAAAAAUAAAAAAAGCUAAAUCCGUUUUCCA